Molecule: long non-coding RNA, 3588 nt
Filed under: Lynx pardinus (Iberian lynx)
Lineage: Eukaryota; Metazoa; Chordata; Mammalia; Carnivora; Felidae
Source: RNAcentral
CCAUAGACAUAGGAUGAACUUGACUAGUGCUGAAGAUGCUCUUUGGUGCCUCCAUUUUGUAUGGUAUGGGGCCUGAAACCUUCCAUCUGAGCCAUGGUGAUGAGAACAGUGAAGACCAGGACUGAGGAGGAGUGGUCUGAGGGGGGAGGCCAGGAUGAUGAACCAAAACUACAAUUGUCCCCCAUCCUUACCUCCUCCCCUACCCAAUUAUUGGAAGAGCAAUAGGUUAGAAUUUUAACAACGAGGGAAAACUGAUGAAGACUUUUGCAAAGGAAAGUAAGCACUUCUGAUCAGUUAUCAGUUCUUUGACCAUCCCAAUAACAUAUGUGUUUUAAUCAGUAGGUCUUAAAAACAGAACAUUUGUCAACAAAAUGAAGAGAAGAGAUUAGCAGAUAAUUGAGGGGCAAAAUACAAAUGAAGUGUUUUCAAUGGGGAAGAAGGGACUUUGAAAGACUUUUAAUGAUGCACAUUGAUUUAUACAUUCCCAGAUUCAAUAGGCAGCAUAAAUGCCAUUCAUGUUGAUGGUGCAAAUGCCUUGAUGCUAUCAGUAAGGAAGUUAAUAAGCUGAGCAGCUGAACUACUAUUCAAAAUAGUGAAGCUUAAGUCUUGCUAAGGCAUUUUCUAUCCCCACCUGGUAUAACCUACAUGUCCUAUUAUACUUAGCAAUACACCUGCUGGCUUUUGUGGGCCUUCAGGAAAUGCCUUUACUUCCUGAAGAAUGCAACAAACUACAACACAAACACCACCAUGGCCAGCUGACACUAGACUGUAAACUGUAGUUACCUCUCUAAAAGGAUUAGGUGCUUGGGUGAUUAGUAUUUGUAGAUUGUGCAAUGGCCAAGUUCACAAAGGAAGUUCUUACAUUAAAAAAAAAAAAAUAUAUAUAUAUAUAUAUGCUAAUCCACAUAGUAUGGAUUCUAUAUAUGUCUUAUGAAUCCAUGUAUAUGUGUAUGUAUGCAUUUAUAAUUUUGGUGAGGGGCGUUACUUGUUUUCUCAUAAAGCUCCCUAGCGUGACAAAAUUAAACCUCACUGGAAUGGACUAUUUUUAUCAGUAAACAAAAACAAAAACUGCUUUUCACCAGACAAAGCUUCGGUCCCUCUGUCAAGCAACAGUGAUUUACCGAGCUAACAUGUGAGCAAAUGGGAAAUACUAUAUUUCCAGACUUGGGUAAUGAAUAACCUCUGAGGGCUUGAACUUUUCUCCGUUCCCACAGACUGCAUCCACAGAGCGGUGCUCUUGCCCUGAAAGGAAGGAUUUACUCCGGUUUGGAAGGAAGUGGAAUAAAUAGAACUGGAAGUGGCAAGGUCACCUUUAAUAUCAUAUGAACUGCCUCUUAACAAGCUUCACAAUUGCUUUGUUUCUUCCUCCCUGGGUUCUAUAAACAGGCAAAGUCAAAGCAAACUCCUAGAGCACACAGUGCGUGGAGGAAGCUCCCAGAGUGGUGAGGAAGGGGAGGCUGCAGGCUCCAUGGGGCCCAUCCCGCACGCCAGGGUUACAAUUGUGUUAUGGUGUGGUGGCCAGAAGGGAAAACUGCUUGUUUUUAAAGGAAGGAGUUAUAUUGUCCUAAAUUCCUGUGUAUAAAAUAUAGGACAAACAAGUUAGAGUGGGCAUAUUGGAGUAUGUGGAAUAUAUGGCAUAUUUGCCUUUCACUGGUCUUUUCCCUAUUAACUUUAAUUAUCACAUGGUGAGUGCAUAAAUACAAAAAUGUUAUUUUAAAAACGCUCUUCUCUAGGACCCUGUUCAGUUGGUAUUCCAAACACCAUGCAAGCUCUUUACUGGCAUUCUGCUUCAUAGAGUUUUCUUCUUUUCCAAGGUCCUUCAGCUACAUGCAGUUGGGCUUCCCUCUUUCUCUGUAGUUUUUCAUUUCUUUUUAAUGUCUCCUUACCGAGGAGAGGAAAGAAUAUCUAGUAUGGAAAAGGCACUAACCAUGUUGGGAUGCCAGAGGGUUGGGCAACAGACAGGACUGGAAUUUUGGUGUCCUGACUCUUAGUAAUUCUUAGGUAGUCCAAUGUGUAAGUCAUCUUGGAAGACAAUGUGAAUGAGUAGUACUGUCAUUAUCAAAGCAAAACAAUAAUUCAGAUUGGGCUUUGAGUCUAAGGUAACUUGGCAUGGCUUAAAUACAGAUUGUCAACGAAAGCAUGAACCAAACAAAACUGAGUUGGUACUUUGUAAAUUGUUACUUACCCCCUGUAUGGACUCCCCACAUUUGGCGAAGGUGUGUAGGAAAAUCUCCCUUAUAUUUCGAAAGUGCAGUAAAGCUAUGGAGUGGUGUAACUUCAAAAAAGUGUGAUUAAAAGAAUAUAAGAAAGAUACAAUAAGAGUCUCUAAGGGGUAGAAAGAGGGCAGUCUCUGUCUAAUCUGAAUUUUGGCCAUUUCUUUACACUUUCAAGAUAAUAUGAGUUCUUGGCAUUACAGAUAACGGGUCAGAGCUGAGCUGUUGUGGAAACUGCUAGAUGGAGCUAGAGCUGUUAUGUGGCCAAAUAUUUUGAUCUGUGGAUAACAUGCAAUAUUGAGAGAUUCUGAUCUCUGUUAAGUGUCCUAAAUUGUCUACAGAGCAGAGCAAACAUUGAGGCAUCAGCCUAGACAUUCUAACAAAUGUGCUCUACUAAAAUGCUAUGCUUGAAUGGACUUGACCAGGCUAAUCAACCUCUAAAGUGCAUCCUGCAUUAUAAUAGCUAUAAGACAAUCCCCGCUCNNNNNNNNNNNNNNNNNNNNNNNNNNNNNNNNNNNNNNNNNNNNNNNNNNNNNNNNNNNNNNNNNNNNNNNNNNNNNNNNNNNNNNNNNNNNNNNNNNNNNNNNNNNNNNNNNNNNNNNNNNNNNNNNNNNNNNNNNNNNNNNACCCCCCACCGCGUGCUUGUAAGAGGGGUGGGGUGGGGAAAGGGCGAGCUCUUCCUUUGUCCUCUGACCACCUAGAACAGCAUGGCUAAUUGCUUUGUCUAUCAUUAAGAAUCUUCAGUAUAUAGUGAGGUUGGAUGUGUGCACAUACAUACAUGCAUGCUCACAUUUACCUCAUAUCUUCACGUUUUUCACCUUUUCUAAAAUAUAGCAGCAAUGAAUCCAGACUGAAACUUGCCACACCUUUCAAUCCAACAACUCUUUUCCCUGAGGACAGUAGGGCAUCAUCCAAAUGUAGCAGCUGGGGAGUUGUGCUGUUAUUUCUUUUCAGAUGACAAAAUAGCAACACGCUUUAAUGAUGAUGAAACCCAGUUCUAUUUUUUUCUUUUCCCUUGUAGUUCUUUUCGUAGCAGGAAUCUGACACCGUUUACUCUUUGGGCAGUAAGUCCCCCAAGUCUGAACUAUGUGAUUGCAUGAGCCCUGCACCUUAUUCAUUAAGACUGCCCCCUUUGAAACGGAAUUGAUGAGUUUUCAGUGACCAUUCGUAGCAUUUGAGAUCCAUAGGCAUCAGGGCUUGAUGCAUGGCCCUCAUCUCCGUGAGCUUCUGUGCAAUGAUUCUCAUCUGUCUUGGUUAGAAAGUGAAUUAAUCUUGACCUUGGCCUCUGGGGUGUGGUUCUCUGUCCUCUCACACAUCUUCAACUCACUUUUUUAUCAGAGGCACUUCUUGUUUCAGGCCCAGGCUCCCCCCAUUU